UAAAAACUGUUUAUAAUAUUCCCCAUUUGUUGUACGGGUGGGGUUCAUGAGGGAGAAGUUCCCGCGAACUGCCGGUGCCCAGCUGAUGUUAAUUGGCAAUCAACCUGGAUAACUCCCGCGGAGACAUAAGGAGCGACACACAGCGGGACAGGAGGUUGUUUUUUUCAACUAUAUGGCCGAUUGGCAGCAACCUGAUGGACACCUUUCCGCUCAGAUUGGAUUAUUAUUUAACGUUUUAAUCGUGGACGCCAUCCUCGGAUCAAGGAACUGUGGGUCACAGGGAGGGCACACGAUGGGCGAAGGUCCACCCCUGGAUGAGUUGCCAGUUCAUCGCAAGGCCCUCUAUGAGCAUUUUGGGGUUCAGCACCUGUCACGGACCAGAUGAGAACCCAGAUGCGACACCAGAGUUUGGCUGAACACCGCUUUAUUGUCAGAAACAGACAACAGACAGGAUUCAAUGGGGAGCGAGCAGAAUAGAAUAGUCAGGGACAGGCAAGGUCGAGAUCGGGCAGAAGGCAGACAGAAUUUACCAGGGAGCAGGCAAAACAGAAUGGUCAGGAGCAGGCAAGGUCGGAACCGGGCAGGCAGGCAAACAGGAAUACGCUGGAAAGUCAUCUGAACACAAAUAACGAUCUGGCAGGGAGCAGGUGUGCCUCCGGGGAUUAAGAAGAGAGCUCAUUAGAGUCCUGAUGCACAACAGGUGUGCGGGGCGAAGCGACUCACGGGCAUGAUUGUAAUUUUUUUUUUUUUGGGUCAUAUCUUUUAAUUUUUGCCAUUUUUGUUCCAAAAAAAACUUGCUUGACAGCAAACUGUAGCUUUGCAGUUGAAAAGACUGACUCCUAAUUAGAACCCAAAGGAGCUAAUUUUGGCAUUGAAAAGUUAUUCUGUUUACGUUUGAAUGGAAGAAACAAGUCAUUUAUUCAUCAAAAAUAAUAUUGCUCAGAUAUUGAUUUAUAUUAAACAGAAAACCCCAAUCACCAAACAAGAACUUACCUUAUGCACAAAUGAAUCAAUACAAUUAGUAGAAACUCAACAAAAUCACUAAUUAAACACACUUAACUAGUCAUAUCAUUGUUUAAAGGUAUAUUUAGUUUGUAGCCGUUUUUGAUGGUAAGGUUUAUUAACUGUACUUUUUUAUUCCUUUGUAUUCAAAUAAUUUACUUGAACUUAAUAUUCAAAUAGUAUAUCCUUGAAUGUGUCCUUGAAAUGUUUUGCUUUUUAUGCUAAGUUGCAAACUCUCUUUGUCAUCUAAGGAACAGCAGCAGAAUAAGGGUUAAUAAUUUAACCGGCAUACAAAGAGCAGCAUAUUAAAAGCCUUCUGUGCCAAUUCCACAGAAUCAGGGCCAGUUUAAUGAAGAACACUGAGGCAGAAAGUGGGAUUAUAAUAUUAAAGUGGAGAAAACUGCCUUGCUGGCAAAUAUCAUGAAUUAAUGUGAAAAUACGUUUUUUUGAGACAACUUUUCUUUCAAAUGCAAGCAUUCUCUCUCUUUCUGUGGGGAGCGUGGUGCGAGCUGAGAGUGUUCUAAUUUGAGAAUUUUUCAACCUUUUCGAGCUGUUUAAGCUGUUUUCUUGUUCGGUUUUGUCGAUAUAGUUUAAUUUAGUGUUGGUGGUGUUUUGUGUUGUAUUUUUAGUUUAGUUGUUUGGUGUUUUGGCGUGUAACCAGCCAGCGUUUGUCUGGCUGGUUGGCAUCUGACUCUGUGGUGGUAGUGGGGAUCUCUCCCGGUUAACGCAGAGACAUGGCGUUAAGGUGGGGGCCAGGUCUCUGUACACUGUGGAGGAGGUGGCCCUGGCUGUGGGGGAGGUUAUAGGACAUGGGG
This is a long non-coding RNA of Takifugu rubripes (torafugu), 1817 nucleotides long. The record is from Ensembl. NCBI's taxonomy places the organism in Eukaryota, Metazoa, Chordata, Actinopteri, Tetraodontiformes, Tetraodontidae.